AGGUGCGAUUAUUCCAGCACUAAUGCACCGGAUCCCAUCCGAACUCCGCAGCUAUACGUGCUUGUACAAGAAAAGUAAUAGGAUGGGUGACCUCCUAGAAAGUCCUCGUGUUGCAGCCC
Molecule: non-coding RNA, 119 nt
Organism: Beta vulgaris subsp. vulgaris (sugar beet)
Lineage: Eukaryota; Viridiplantae; Streptophyta; Magnoliopsida; Caryophyllales; Amaranthaceae
Source: Rfam